This 393-nucleotide ribosomal RNA is filed under the name uncultured bacterium. RNAcentral describes it as "partial 16S ribosomal RNA". It matches the Rfam family "Bacterial small subunit ribosomal RNA", at positions 523 to 918 of the family's 1533-position model. The record is from RNAcentral.
AUACGGAGGAUGCAAGCGUUAUCCGGAUUUAUUGGGUUUAAAGGGUGCGUAGGCGGUUUGCUAAGCGGGAGGUGAAAUGCCGGCGCUCAACGUCGGAAGUGCCUCCCGAACUGGUGGACUUGAAUGACUCUGCCGUGGGAGGAAUGUGUAGUGUAGCGGUGAAAUGCUUAGAGAUUACACAGAACACCGAUUGCGAAGGCAUCUCACGAAGGGUUGAUUGACGCUGAGGCACGAAGGCGUGGGGAUCAAACAGGAUUAGAUACCCUGGUAGUCCACGCAGUAAACGAUGAUGGCUAACCGCUGGGCUUAUCAGUUCAGUGGCCAAGCGAAAGCGAUAAGCCAUCCACCUGGGGAGUACGACCGCAAGGUUGAAACUCAAAUGAAUUGACGGGG